AUUGUAGUAUCGGAAAAAGGAUAGGAUUAGGAUAAUUUAGAUUUGUAAAAUUCUCCUAAUACUAUUUAUUAAGAUAAAUGAAAAUAACAGAGAUUAAUUGGACAGAGAACGAUAAAUGUUCAACUUGAACUAAAACACAAAAGUCUUAUUCCGCUCAAAUCACUCUCGCAACUCUAUAACUCUAACAACUCGAUCUCUCUACAACGCUAGCAACUCUACAACUCUCGUCUUCGGCAUCUGCACUCGCACGCUCUCGCUUCUCAACUCAUACUGCACGCCUUUUGCAUUCGUUCUCGCUGGCGUCUCAACUAACUCUAUCCUUAGCGUCUCUUUGUCUUUUCUCAUCCCAUCGAACACGUGUCCCGAAACCCCGUGGCCAGGGUCACGCAGGCUCUUUCCACAAAACUGUUCACUCGAAAGGACCGACGGCGUGAUGUACUCGACGGCGCCACGGCUCUCGCCACUUUGUAUACGGUUCGGCCGAUAUCUUGGGCCUUUUGCCCACGAUACUACAAUAUAGAUUACGUCUUACUGAAUGGCAUAAGUUUCUCAAUUUGUCCGCUGAACAGUAAGUUUUAAUCGCUGUGUUAAUUGCUUAUAUAAGACCGUCGGAUAUACGUGAAAUAUGACCGUAGCGUACAACGAAAUGUAGAUUGUUUUCAAUAAAGCACAGUUCAUGACGCUAUGUUAUGACGUGAUAGCCUUUCACGAGCAUUAAAUAUACGACCUUAGUUGAGUUUAAUUACACGCCAUUAUAAUACGCCACUUGGUCGAAUGUAGAAGAAUGUAGUAUAAGUGAAAGAGAAAGAAAUCCAAAGUUUUGAUUAAAAACAUAUCAGUGAGUGAGACAAUAAAAAUGCAACGGUUAAACUUUUUUAUUGUUCAUUUUUGUUGUAUUAACUUUUCACCAUUGUUGAUGAGAGGUUUUUCUGAUUAAAAAACAGACCAUGCACGAUAUAAUACCACCUUCCUUGGAGUAUAUUUACUUAUUUAAUGAUAUUAACUUAUCUCCUUUUUUAUUAGAUAUUAGUAUUAUGAUUAUUAGACAUGUUAUCACGUUCGCAGCAAGUUUCCUUACUUGGAGAUAGUAUAAUCGGCUAGAGAUGGAAAAUACACCAAUUUCCUAGGUGGAGAACCGCUCUCGAGUUAUAGAGCCGGUACUUUGCUGCUUGAAGGGCCGUUUCUUUUUUAUAUGAACUCUUUUAAAACGUUAUUUAUGCGGUUUAACUUUUUCUUCUAAAAUUGCUACAUUUAGAACAUUUAGAAUUUUAAUAAAUAAAAAAAAAAAAAAAAAGAAAAAACAUUUAGAACAAAUUAGAUGGCAGUUUUCAGGAUAUUACAAGACAAAGAUUUUGUGUCUCGUCAUUAAGAUCUUUGCAUCCCUUUAACACUGAUUUUAAUUUUUAUAAAAGAGAUACGUGUCGAAAGUCGAUUCAUAUAUAAUUUGAAAAUGAAAUUUGAAAUUUCAUAUUACUCUUUAACUAUAGAAACAUUCCGAUAACUUGUGCAUAAUAUUGCA
RNAcentral lists this unclassified non-coding RNA (1519 nucleotides) under Bombus terrestris (buff-tailed bumblebee). RNAcentral describes it as "misc RNA ENSBTSG00005029289.1". Lineage: Eukaryota; Metazoa; Arthropoda; Insecta; Hymenoptera; Apidae. The record is from RNAcentral.